AGAGUUUGAUCACGGCUCAGAUUGAACGCUGGCGGUAGGCUUAACACAUGCAAGUCGAGCGGUAACAGAGAAUAGCUUGCUAUUCUGCUGACGAGCGGCGGACGGGUGAGUAACGCGUAGGAAACUGCCUGGUAGUGGGGGAUAGCCCAGAGAAAUUUGGAUUAAUACCGCAUACGCCCUACGGGGGAAAAGGGGCUUCGGCUCUUGCUAUCAGAUAUGUGCCUGCGUAAGAUUAGCUAGUUGGUGAGGUAAUGGCUCACCAAGGCGACGAUCUUUAGCUGGUCUGAGAGGAUGAUCAGCCACACUGGAACUGAGACACGGUCCAGACUCCUACGGGAGGCAGCAGUGGGGAAUAUUGCACAAUGGACGAAAGCCUGAUGCAGCCAUACCGCGUGUGUGAAGAAGGCUUUCGGGUUGUAAAGCACUUUCAGCGAGGAGGAAGGAGUUGUAGUUAAGAGCUAGCUUAAUUGACGUUACUUGCAGAAUAAGCACCGGCUAACUCUGUGCCAGCAGCCGCGGUAAUACGGAGGGUGCGAGCGUUAAUCGGAAUUACUGGGCGUAAAGCGCGCGUAGGCGGCCUGAUAAGUUGGAUGUGAAAGCCCUGGGCUCAACCUAGGAACUGCAUUCAAAACUGUCAGGCUAGAGUAUGGUAGAGGAUAGUGGAAUUUCCGGUGUAGCGGUGAAAUGCGUAGAGAUCGGAAGGAACAUCAGUGGCGAAGGCGGCUAUCUGGACGAGUAUUGACGCUGAGGCACGAAAGCGUGGGGAGCAAACAGGAUUAGAUCCCCUGGUAGUCCACGCCGUAAACGAUGUCAACUAGCCGUUGGGAGCAAUGUGCCCGGGAGGGGCGCAGCGAACGCGAGAAGGUGACCGCCUGGGGAGUACGGCCGCAAGGUUAAAACUCAAAUGAAUUGACGGGGGCCCGCACAAGCGGUGGAGCAUGUGGUUUAAUUCGAUGCAACGCGAAGAACCUUACCAGGUAUUGACAUCCCGAGAAUUUACUAGAGAUAGUUUAGUGCCUUCGGGAACAGUGACAGGUGCUGCAUGGCUGUCGUCAGCUCGUGUCGUGAGAUGUUGGGUUAAGUACCGUAACGAGCGCAACCCUUGUCCUUAGUUGCCAGCCUUAAGUUGGGCACACUCUAAAUAGACUGCCGGUGACAAACCGGAGGAAGGUGGGGAUGAUGUCAAGUCAUCAUGGCCCUUAUGGGUAGGGCUACACACGUGCUACAAUGGGCAGUACAGAGAGCGUUGAAACCGUGAGGUGGAACAAAUCUCCUAAAGCUGUUCGUAGUCCGGAUUGGAGUCUGCAACUCGACUCCAUGAAGUCGGAAUCGCUAGUAAUCGCAAAUCAGCAUGUUGCGGUGAAUACGUUCCCGGGCCUUGUGCACACCGCCCGUCACACCAUGGGAGUGGGUUGUACCAGAAGUAGGUAGUCUAACCGCAAGGAGGACGCUUACCACGGUAUGGUUCAUGACUGGGGUGAAGUCGGAACAAGGUAA
This 1497-nucleotide ribosomal RNA is filed under the name uncultured prokaryote. RNAcentral's name for it is "partial 16S ribosomal RNA". It matches the Rfam family "Bacterial small subunit ribosomal RNA". The record is from RNAcentral.